RNAcentral lists this ribosomal RNA (653 nucleotides) under uncultured bacterium. Its description in RNAcentral is "bacterial SSU rRNA". It matches the Rfam family "Bacterial small subunit ribosomal RNA", at positions 202 to 842 of the family's 1533-position model. The record is from RNAcentral.
AAAAGGUGGCUAUGCUACCGCUUUUGGAUGGGCCCGCGGCGCAUUAGCUAGUUGGUGGGGUAAAGGCUUACCAAGGCAAUGAUGCGUAGCCGAACUGAGAGGUUGAUCGGCCACAUUGGGACUGAGACACGGCCCAAACUCCUACGGGAGGCAGCAGUAGGGAAUCUUCCACAAUGGGCGAAAGCCUGAUGGAGCAACGCCGCGUGGGUGAAGAAGGUCUUCGGAUCGUAAAACCCUGUUGUUAGAGAAGAAAGUGCGUGAGAGUAACUGUUCACGUUUCGACGGUAUCUAACCAGAAAGCCACGGCUAACUACGUGCCAGCAGCCGCGGUAAUACGUAGGUGGCAGGCGUUAUCCGGAUUUAUUGGGCGUAAAGGGAACGCAGGCGGUCUUUUAAGUCUGAUGUGAAAGCCUUCGGCUUAACCGGAGUAGUGCAUUGGAAACUGGGAGACUUGAGUGCAGAAGAGGAGAGUGGAACUCCAUGUGUAGCGGUGAAAUGCGUAGAUAUAUGGAAGAACACCAGUGGCGAAAGCGGCUCUCUGGUCUGUAACUGACGCUGAGGUUCGAAAGCGUGGGUAGCAAACAGGAUUAGAUACCCUGGUAGUCCACGCCGUAAACGAUGAAUGCUAAGUGUUGGAGGGUUUCCGCCCUUCA